UACGUAGGGGGCAAGCGUUUGUCCGGAUUUAUUGGGCGUAAAGAGCUCGUAGGCGGUUUGUCGCGUCUGCUGUGAAAACUCGGGGCUUAACCCCGGGCCUGCAGUGGGUACGGGCAGACUAGAGUCCGGAAGAGGAGAGUGGAAUUCCUGGUGUAGCGGUGAAAUGCGCAGAUAUCAGGAAGAACACCCGUGGCGAAGGCGGCUCUCUGGGAUGGUACUGACGCUGAGACGCGAAAGCGUGGGGAGCGAACAGG
This 254-nucleotide ribosomal RNA is filed under the name uncultured bacterium. Its description in RNAcentral is "partial 16S ribosomal RNA". It matches the Rfam family "Bacterial small subunit ribosomal RNA", at positions 524 to 776 of the family's 1533-position model. The record is from RNAcentral.